CUUCAGCGCUAAGAUGGAGUUCCUGACUUUGCAAAACAAAACAAAAAGCCAACCUGUUAUUUCGCCUUUGCGAAGAAAUGCCGGGCUGCAGCAGAGCGAGCGGGCACCGAACCGCCCCUCUGCCUCCCGCAGAGCCACAGGCAGCGUGGAACCUGUCCCAAGGGAAGGCAGAAAGAGGCAAAAAAAGAGCAAUAAGCCUGGGACAUGUGGCAACUGCCAGUUCUUCCUUUCCAUGCGUUUUUUUAUUAGUUACUGCAUUGUUCUAUGAGCUUUUCCUCAAAAGCUUUGCAGAGCCGUGGAGGGACGCAUUCCUUAGCAUCUGACUUUGGCUACCUGGGGAACACAGCAAAGGCGUACCCUUCCAGCAAGAUCUGCCAAGCUUAAGAGAGAGGGAAGUUUUAUACGGAGUGCUUAAAAACACCAGCAGCAGUACGGAAAAACUGAAUGGGCAUGUGAGAUCAAGCCCCUGGGCCAUGGAACGGGUGCAUGGAGCGCUGGCCAGGUAAACAAUGCUCAGCUGAACCGACAGGCCUGAUGGUCCUGCGGCAAAACUAGUCAAAAGCCAUUAUCUGGAAAAUGGGGGAUCAUGGUGACACAGAAGAACCUGCCACUGAUGCUGAGCUGUUCAGGAGAGGGAAACAUAGAGCUGACGUGAAGAACUGCAGAAAAUGUGGGUGAUAUGGAGAAAUAGAUAACAAAACGGGAAUAAAAUUCAUCAUCGACAGAUGCUGGGUAGUGCAGAUGCAGAAGGACAUAACCCAAGGGUACAAGGAUGAGCUGUGGGGAGCAGGAAUGUGAUCUGGGAGGUGGCACGGGCAGCUGCCUGUUGGCAUGUCCCCUGGUUCCUCGCCUUGCUGAAGCCAAGAACCUACGUGUAGGGGGUGACGAGGGUGGGAUUUCUCUCCGUUUGCUGCCCACGCCAAGCGGUGCCCUGGCAGGCUCAGAAGGGGCACAGCAGCUGUCCCCUGGGCACAGGGCAGGAGAGCCACAAGUGCAGAGCAGGCAGGUGGGCUACACGGCCAACACUGCCGGUCUGUGCUCUGCCUGCCCAUGCGUGUCCCUGCAGGCUGCAUUUACAGUGUUCCAGCUCCAACCUUGAAAACACCCUUGGUCUCUGCUCCGUUAGCCCACCAGAGCUGGCGCAGAGGCUGUUUUCUGGGCAGAGUGGUGAGCAUCAGCUGUGGGUGGCUCCUCAUGUCACACCGACCGCGGUCCCCUCGGCAGCAGUCAUCCAAUGAUUCUGCCAGUGAGAAAAUCUCCUUUUGUGGGGGAAACUCUUGGGCUUUCAGUACCAUCUCAGGGAAAAAAAGACCAGGAUUGCUCAUGAUACGUCUGUGAGUCCCCUGGCAGGGACCCCACGGGGUGCUGCAGAGCCAAGGUUGGGUUGGAGAGUGGCAGUGCACCUCUCCAGGGAUUAAAAGAGCCUUCAGGUUAUGGACAAGGAUGGUGCGAUUGAGGGGAAUCAGCAACAUUUGCACCCUCUCCUGGGAAAAAAUGAAAUGUUGCAAUUAUGUAGGAUCUCUGCUCAGUGGUUUGGGAAACUCCUAGCACUAUAGAAAAGACAGAGGUGUCCAGCAGUAAUUUUUGCCUGGUAAUUGGAAAAAACGUCCUGGCACUGUAAACCACUGCACACAGCAGAAGGGAAACAGCAGUGCCUACAGUCCGGUAGGGCUGGGGCAUAUUCCAAUUAAAUAACAGAAAUAAACCAUAAUGCCUAUGCAGAAGGCAAGGAGCAUGCUAGUCCUGUGCCGGUGUUCAAAGGAGAAGGCUGCCAACUCCAAGGUAGCAGCUUGACUCCUAGAUUGGGCAAAAGGUUGGAAAACUGAUGUAAGAUUCACCACAUAGUGAAUUUUCCAGGUCAAAAAGUUGCGACCUGGAGCAAGACAGCAGUAAUCUGUUUUUUAAUGAUGCAGUAACUAAUCUAGAACUAAAUACCAUACAGUGGGAGAGAAACCGGAGGCCAGCACACUGUGCCUGUGCUGACACACCAGUGUUUUGCAUUUUCAAAGCAGCAGACGUUGCAAAAAUAGGAAAUACAAGAAGUCAGCACUAUUAAACCAAAUGUAAUGAAAUAUCCUAUCAUGAGUCAUUUACUUGUAAACCUCAAAAAAUUUUCAGCAGAUGCCACUAGAUUUCUUUUGCCAGUCAUUGCUCCAGUGAAGUUUUUCCAGCAAAGAACAAGGAGGAUAUAAACACACAGGGUGUUUCAUCUUCUCCUUCCCUCAAGAGCUGUGUGUAGUAGGAUGCAUUAUCAAAAAAUAAUAAUAGAGGAAGCAUUUAAAUAAUGCUGGGCUGAGCAGGGAGUGCCAAGGCAGUCAUAUACUUGUCAUAAAAAUGGAGUACCAGGUUCAUAAUGAAUGAAUGUGUCAGCUGAAUUUAGGCAGGAGCAUCAGGCAGGCUGAGUGGGUGCCGGUAGCAUCACAUACAGAUGCUGAAAAAUGAUUCUGUGGUCUCCAGUACAAACCUACCAGCAUGUGAAGUUCUGCAGCUCCGUCUGCCCGUGGGCUUCUGCAGCCUGUGCUCAGCCAAGCCUCCCUGCAAAGGGACCAUAUUGUCCUGGGUUUAGAGGGGAUAAAGAAGGAGAGGCUGAGAAACCACUGUCUGACGUGGAGCCAGGGGGGAAUUUCUAGAUUCUCUGACUGUCUUUGCAGCUGUCAGUCCCAAAUGUCCCAGACUAGGUGGGACAUGAUGCUGAUCUGGGAACCAGGUGUCCUGGGGUGAUGUGGCUUCUUUUCCCUGUUUCAUUUUCAUAUCCCUCACAGGGGAGCGAUGCCCACCCUGCUGUGGUGGGCUAGUUCAGCAGGUACCCAGAGCAUUGCACGCACACUGGAAAGGACGUGGCACAGGGUGCUGGGGACAUGCCUGUAAAAGCACCAGGUAGGGUGCACACAGGCACCCAGAGUGGCAUGGAAGGGUGGCAGGGCAUGCUAUGGGGAGACCUUCUGCAGGCAGAAGUCCUCGCGGAGAAGCAGCAACACUAGAAAGUGAAGUCCCCCUACCCCCAAAGUCACAUCUGGGACAGGACAUGGAGUUGAAGUGCCACCGCACUUAGCAGAGCAGGAAUGCUGUGGGCAGACAUGAAUUAUAUGUAACGGUCUCGGCCACGUUUAUCUUUCUUGAAAUAACUUCGCUUUUUGUGGAUCAGUUGUCUGAAAACCAUAAUUGACACUCUCCAAGCCCUUUAUAGUUGCUUGUAGAAUAGUGACCUUCUGGUAAUGCAAGAGCAGGCAUGGACCUGACCAAAGCUAAAUCGGUGCUGAGGCCAGCAGCAGGGACAGGGCUGAGGGAGAGGACAUUUGUGGCUGUCCCACACCUGCCCGGGGACGGCAUUUGUCCCACGGGGCCCACUCUGCUUGCACCCUCAGCAGCUGUGAGCCGCAGGGAGGGCACCGGGAUGUUAGCGACGACCUGGGGGUCCCGGCAUCGCUGCAGGGGCUGCCGGCCUGCCCACGUGGGCAUGCAUCGGGGUCUAAGGGUUCCUCCUACAGACCUUCCAGGUUCACUCUGCUGUCAAAUUUCAACGCAGUUAAAAUGUGGGUUGGUGCCUCCAGAUUCCAGGUGUGGGGAGCGUAUGGGUGAGCUCGUUCAUUUUGCUUGCAGAAGCCAGAGACCUGGGAGCUCCAUGGUGCCGUUACAGGAGGUCCCCUGGCAGAGCAGCGUGCCCCACUGCUGUCUGGUCUUAGUUAAGAGCCAAGUUUGUAUUUUUUUCUAAUUUCCCCCUCAGAGAACAGAUGUCACAGUCUUUUGCAUUCAGAAGAUCUAACUGUGUUAUUUUUAACCAGCCUUGUGGAAAAAAACAUACGGUGCAUUGUGGAAGAAGUUAAGAGUCACGUAAAGCUCAACGGAGAGUAAAGAGGCUCAGCUUGGCGGGGGAGGGGGCAGAUGCCUGCCCCAGGAGAAGGGAGGCUUCCUCCGGGCCACCUGCCUGGGGGGGUACAAACAGAGCUGCAACGUUAGGUGCAAUGCAUUCAUGCUGAAAUGAUAAAUUAUGCUGAAAAAGAUAAAUGGGUGGAUUCUGAGGUUUGUAGCAUAGUAGCAAUUCAUUGCCGAGGUUGCAUACGCAGCGCUUCAGCAGCAGCGGGGCAGGGGCAGCCGUAACGUCAGGGGGGGAUGCUGCCCUUGUGCCUGAGCUGCUCUGAACCGGGGUGCAGGGGGCUGCGCCAGGCUCGGUUUCGUUGGAGUUGUGUUCAGCUCCAGCUGGUGAAUGGGUGUCCUGGGCUAAGGGUGAUGCCAACGGCUGCUUUGCUUCCCGCUGCCCGGCCUUUGCAAGUGUGCCCAUGGCAGGGGGCUGCAGCGCAGCACGGCCUGGGCGGCGGCACCGGGUGCCCAGUUCCCACCAUCCCUCCCCUGAAUGGUGCAGCUCAGCAGCCCUGGCUUCACGCACGAGGGGCUGGCUGAGCUGGGAAACAUCCCAAGAUAGGCACAGAUGGCAAAGCACAAAGAUAACUGGCUUGUCAGGGCACGCCUCUGCAUUUCCAUGUACUCAGAGCCGAAAAAAAUGAAAUCUCCCCUGUAAUCCCAAAAUUCUUUUGAUGAUGAGAAAAUGCAAUUGAAAAGUUUUGUUGCACAACCUUCAAGAUCAAAUGAUGAUUUGUUUAGAAUGCACUUUGUGGUAUUACAUGGCAUACAGGCUCACCAAUUAGCUGGAAGCAAAUAUUCCUCCUCAUUUUCCGUGAGUGUGUCAUUAGGAUAGUGUCUCACCAGUUGAACAUUAUCAUUAUCAGCUGCAAAUACUGUUGAAGUUCAAAGCAUUUGCUUGUAGUUUACAUUUUAUAUUUUCAAAUAUUGUUAAUUCAGUUUCAUUGCUGCCUUGGAAAUAAUCAGAUGAUGAUCUCUUCUGCUUUCAAACUGCCAUAACAAACAACUGUUGGAAAUAUUCUGAUAUUUCUACAGCUGGAAGUAUCAAUGGCAAUCACAGAAAAUGCCCCUUUCAAGUAAAUCUUUCAUAGUUUAUUUUCCGGAGGAAGGAAGAACUAAGGUAUUGUAUUCAAUGCACGUAACUUCUGUCUGCUGCUCGUCGCUGGUGUCUCCUCCAACCUUCACAGCAGCUCCGAGCCACCAGCACCCAUGCCCAACACUGCUACACAACCUGGCUUGCCAUUGCCCUCCAGCCCUUUGACAAACCUCUGCAACCAAAGGGGGGGCAUUUGGUGGGACAUAUAUAUGCUUUUUCCAUAGUUAUGAAUGAAUACAAAUCUUA
Molecule: long non-coding RNA, 5200 nt
Organism: Falco peregrinus (peregrine falcon)
Lineage: Eukaryota; Metazoa; Chordata; Aves; Falconiformes; Falconidae
Exons: 2
Source: RefSeq, a predicted model, not a curated record